GGGACACUGAAGGGAGGCGAGAGGAGGGGGACACUGAAGGGAGGCGAGAGGAGGGGGACACUGAAGGAAGGAGAGAAGAGGGGGACAGUAAAUGGAGGACAGAAGAGGAGGACAGUAAAGGGAGGAGAGAAGAGGGAGACACUGAAGAGAGGCGAGAGGAGGGGGACACUGAAGGAAGGAGAGAAGAGGGGGACAGUAAAUGGAGGACAGAAGAGGAGGACAGUAAAGGGAGGAGAGAAGAGGGAGACACUGAAGGGAGGAGAGAAGAGGAGGACACUGAAGGGAGGAGAGAAGACCGGGACAAUGUCAACAGUGAAGCAACAUCCUUUGACCAAAUACCCCCCCACUCUCUUGAUUCGCUUGAGACAGAGAAGAGACGUGAAGAAAGAGGUAAGUAAAAGCUGUUCAUCUUGAGGUGAAACACCGGAAAAGGUCUCCUUGUGAAGUAAUGGUUAUUUUAAUGAAUAUAGCUUUGUCCUUCUACUAUUUCUAUAUAAUUCUAUUUUAAAUUAGUCUCGUAUGUAAAAUAAAUACUGUACAGUUACCUAUAUAUUUAUCAUGUUUUGAUGUGUUUCUGACCUGGAUUUGUUUGUAACACAUGCAUGUUUUUGUACGGUGUGUGUGUGUGUAUGUGUGUAUGUGUGUGUGUGUGUGUGUGUGUGUGUGUGUGUGUGUGUGUGUGUGUGUGUAUGUGUGUGUGUGUGUGUGUGUGUGUGUGUGUGUGUGUGUGUGUGUGUGUGUGUGUGUGUGUGUGUGUGUGUGUGUGUGUGUGUGUGUGUGUGUGUGUGUGUGUGUGUGUGUGUGUGUGUGUGUGUGUGUGUGUGUGUGUGUGUGUGUGUGUGUGUGUGUGUAUGUGUGUGUGUGUGUGUGUGUGUGUGUGUGUGUGUGUGUGUGUGUGUGUGUGUGUGUGUGUGUGUGCAUAACACACCUGUCCUUCUCUACUCCAGAUGCUACAUUUGUGGAUGAUAACAGGGCGGACCUCAUUCAGAGGGUUACCACGGUGAAACUCAUAGCAGAAACACUUCUCCAGUGGCGUAUGAUCCACAAAGAGGCGUACCUUAAGAUCCUUGCUGCCCAGACCACACCAGAUCAGAUGAGGGAGCUGUACAACGUCUUAAACACAGACAAAGUCAAAUCAGCCUUCUAUAGGCUCCUUCAGAAGGAAGAGCCUUAUUUGGUCCAGGUGCCAGGUAGGUUAUACGGUCUGAUGUACCACGGCUGUCAUCCAAUCAGAAUUAAGGGCUCGAACCACCCAUUUUAUGUCUGAUAUACCACAGCUUUUAACCAAUCAGCAUCCAGAACCCAAACCACCCAGUUUAUAACAACGAUAAUAUUAUAAUACAUGAAGGCACAAUUUAUAGUACAAUAUGUACGUGUGUUUUGUAAAUUGUGCACAGUAUUUAGCAAUAAUAAUUAACCAGUUGUGAUGUGUGAUGUGUAAUGUGUAAUGUGUGAGUGUGAGUGUGUGUGUGUGUGUGUGUGUGUGUGUGUGUGUGUGUGUGUGUGUGUGUGUGUGUGAGUGUGAGUGUGUGUGUGUGUGUGUGUGUGUAUGUGAGU
This is a long non-coding RNA of Oncorhynchus tshawytscha (Chinook salmon), 1557 nucleotides long. The record is from Ensembl. NCBI's taxonomy places the organism in Eukaryota, Metazoa, Chordata, Actinopteri, Salmoniformes, Salmonidae.